UACGUAGGGGGCAAGCGUUGUCCGGAUUUAUUGGGCGUAAAGAGCGUGUAGGCGGCUUUGCAAGUCCGUUGUGAAAACUCGAGGCUCAACCUCGAGACGCCGGUGGAAACUGCAAAGCUAGAGUCCGGAAGAGGAGAGUGGAAUUCCUGGUGUAGCGGUGAAAUGCGCAGAUAUCAGGAUGAACACCCGUGGCGAAGGCGGCUCUCUGGGACGGUACUGACGCUGAGACGCGAAAGCGUGGGGAGCAAACAGG
RNAcentral lists this ribosomal RNA (253 nucleotides) under uncultured bacterium. Its description in RNAcentral is "partial 16S ribosomal RNA". It matches the Rfam family "Bacterial small subunit ribosomal RNA", at positions 524 to 776 of the family's 1533-position model. The record is from RNAcentral.